CGCCAAUAAGAGGUUUGCUUUGCGGCACUUGAAGGAGGAGGGCUUUCUGGAGGGUGGCACGGGUCUCAAGUACCCUGAAGUCGGCUAAUUCGGCUCGCUUGGAAUAACAGACAUUUAACACCUUCCAUUGUUCUGGGCCUGGGCCCCACAGCCCUGCUGGGACUGGGGGGCCGCGGGUUGGGUUCCUCCGGUUCACAGGGGAGGCCGCCCUCCUCAGCACCAGGUCUGAGACCCAGUCUCCCCCUAGCAAGCCUACCAAACCCGAGGGAUCUCCACACCCCACACCUGCCUCCUUGGAGGAGGAAGCGGGGCAUGGGAUCUCGUAGUGUCAACAGCCCCUUAAGCGAUAAUCCUAGACGUACUUGCCCCUCAUGCCUUUUCUUAUAUUUGCCGUUUCAGUUCCUGACGAGUGGGCGAUCUGAAAACCACCACAUUUCUUCCUAUUGUAAAAAGAUGCAAAUUUUAGCGAGAAGGAUGCUCACUGCGGUGUCAUCACGAUAG
Molecule: long non-coding RNA, 501 nt
Filed under: Felis catus (domestic cat)
Lineage: Eukaryota; Metazoa; Chordata; Mammalia; Carnivora; Felidae
Description: lncRNA (ENSFCAG00000053610.1)
Source: RNAcentral